CCUUCCGUAAGGGAACCUGCGGAAGGAUCAUUACAGUAUUCUUUUGCCAGCGCUUAACUGCGCGGCGAAAAACCUUACACACAGUGUCUUUUUGAUACAGAACUCUUGCUUUGGUUUGGCCUAGAGAUAGGUUGGGCCAGAGGUUUAACAAAACACAAUUUAAUUAUUUUUACAGUUAGUCAAAUUUUGAAUUAAUCUUCAAAACUUUCAACAACGGAUCUCUUGGUUCUCGCAUCGAUGAAGAACGCAGCGAAAUGCGAUAAGUAAUAUGAAUUGCAGAUUUUCGUGAAUCAUCGAAUCUUUGAACGCACAUUGCGCCCUCUGGUAUUCCAGAGGGCAUGCCUGUUUGAGCGUCAUUUCUCUCUCAAACCCCCGGGUUUGGUAUUGAGUGAUACUCUUAGUCGGACUAGGCGUUUGCUUGAAAAGUAUUGGCAUGGGUAGUACUGGAUAGUGCUGUCGACCUCUCAAUGUAUUAGGUUUAUCCAACUCGUUGAAUGGUGUGGCGGGAUAUUUCUGGUAUUGUUGGCCCGGCCUUACAACAACCAAACAAGUUUGACCUCAAAUCAGGUAGGAAUACCCGCUGAACUUAAGCAUAUCAAUAAGCGGAG
This 608-nucleotide ribosomal RNA is filed under the name Meyerozyma guilliermondii. RNAcentral describes it as "eukaryotic LSU rRNA". The stretch from base 203 to 356 matches the Rfam family "5.8S ribosomal RNA". Lineage: Eukaryota; Fungi; Ascomycota; Pichiomycetes; Serinales; Debaryomycetaceae. The record is from RNAcentral.